UACGAAGGGGGCUAGCGUUGUUCGGAAUCACUGGGCGUAAAGCGCACGUAGGCGGAUGUGUCAGUCAGGGGUGAAACUCCCGGGGCUCAACCUCGGAACUGCCUCUGAUACAGCACAUCUUGAGUCCGGAAGAGGUGGGUGGAAUUCCUAGUGUAGAGGUGAAAUUCGUAGAUAUUAGGAAGAACACCGGUGGCGAAGGCGGCCCACUGGUCCGGUACUGACGCUGAGGUGCGAAAGCGUGGGGAGCAAACAGG
RNAcentral lists this ribosomal RNA (254 nucleotides) under uncultured bacterium. RNAcentral's name for it is "partial 16S ribosomal RNA". It matches the Rfam family "Bacterial small subunit ribosomal RNA", at positions 524 to 776 of the family's 1533-position model. The record is from RNAcentral.